CAAAGGCUUGGUCCUGACUUUACUAUCAGCUUUAACCCCAUUUAUACAUGCAAGUAUCCGCACACCCGUGAGAAUGCCCUCAAUUUCCUGCCCGGAAACGAGGAGCAGGCAUCAGGCACCUUAAUACACGCCCAAAACGCCUUGCUACGCCACACCCCCAAGGGAGUUCAGCAGUAAUAAACAUUAAGCCAUGAGCGAAAGCUCGACUUAGUUAGGGUUAAUUAGGGCCGGUAAAACUCGUGCCAGCCACCGCGGUUAUACGAGAGACCCAAGUAGAUAGCUACGGCGUAAAGAGUGGUUAAGGAAUAUAGUUAAAUAGAGCCGAACAUCCUCUAAGCUGUUAUACGCUUUUCGAAGAUACGAAGCCCCCUCACGAAAGUAGCUCUACUUCAAACAACCUGAACCCACGAAAACUAAGAAACAAACUGGGAUUAGAUACCCCACUAUGCUUAGCCGUAAACAUAGAUGUUAGCCUACAGCCAACAUCCGCCCGGGUACUACAAGCGCCAGCUUAAAACCCAAAGGACUUGGCGGUGCUUCAGACCCACCUAGAGGAGCCUGUUCUAGAACUGAUAAUCCCCGUUAAACCUCACCACCCCUAGCCUUUUCCGCCUAUAUACCGCCGUCGUCAGCUUACCCCGUGAGGGAAAAACAGUGAGCACAAUGAGUAAACCCCAAAACGUCAGGUCGAGGUGUAGCGAAUGAGGUGGGAAGAAAUGGGCUACAUUUUUUAACAAUAAAAUAUUACGAACAGCGAACUGAAAUUAAACGCUUGAAGGUGGAUUUAGUAGUAAAAAGAAAAUAGAGAGUCCUUUUGAACCAGGCUCUGAAGCGCGCACACACCGCCCGUCACCCUCCCCUUUUAAUAAUACUCUUAAGUAAUUUAACACCCCUAACCAAAAUACGGGGAGGCAAGUCGUAACAUGGUAAGUGUACCGGAAGGUGCACUUGGAAGAAU
This 958-nucleotide non-coding RNA is filed under the name Neolebias trilineatus. RNAcentral's name for it is "12S ribosomal RNA". It matches the Rfam family "Bacterial small subunit ribosomal RNA". Lineage: Eukaryota; Metazoa; Chordata; Actinopteri; Characiformes; Distichodontidae. The record is from RNAcentral.